RNAcentral lists this non-coding RNA (366 nucleotides) under Pan troglodytes (chimpanzee). RNAcentral also lists the same sequence under 1 other name. The record is from RNAcentral. Lineage: Eukaryota; Metazoa; Chordata; Mammalia; Primates; Hominidae.
GUCCCCUGCCUGUGCUUCUUGUCUGCUUCUGCUCCUUCUUUGCCUUUCCUGCAUCUGGUACAGUUGUAGCUUGCCAUUGCAGGUGCUGUAUUUCUCUGAAUCCCUCGUGCCCACGGCAAGGAAGGCUUUGUGUGACCCACUGGAGGAGGUCAGAGAGGCGGCAGCCAAGACUUUCGAGCAGCUGCAUUCCACCAUCGGCCACCAGGCUCUGGAGGACAUUCUCCCAUUUUUACUAAAGCAGCUGGAUGACGAGGAGGUGUCAGAGUUUGCCUUGGAUGGUCUGAAGCAAGUCAUGGCUAUUAAGAGUCGUGUGGUGCUGCCCUACCUUGUGCCCAAGCUGACAACGCCACCUGUCAACACCCGGGU